AGGGUAAUAGUUAAGUAUAACAUUUGACUUGCAAUCAAAAAGUAUUGAUUCAUCAAUUUAUCUUU
This 65-nucleotide transfer RNA is filed under the name Ectobius sp. Z254C. RNAcentral's name for it is "tRNA-Ala". It matches the Rfam family "tRNA". Rfam says of the family: Transfer RNA (tRNA) molecules are approximately 80 nucleotides in length. Their secondary structure includes four short double-helical elements and three loops (D, anti-codon, and T loops). Further hydrogen bonds mediate the characteristic L-shaped molecular structure. tRNAs have two regions of fundamental functional importance: the anti-codon, which is responsible for specific mRNA codon recognition, and the 3' end, to which the tRNAs corresponding amino acid is attached (by aminoacyl-tRNA synthetases). tRNAs cope with the degeneracy of the genetic code in two manners: having more than one tRNA (with a specific anti-codon) for a particular amino acid; and 'wobble' base-pairing, i.e. permitting non-standard base-pairing at the 3rd anti-codon position. Lineage: Eukaryota; Metazoa; Arthropoda; Insecta; Blattodea; Ectobiidae. The record is from RNAcentral.